This is an RNA transcript of Neoarius graeffei (lesser salmon catfish), 3309 nucleotides long. It is a transcript of the gene named cellular tumor antigen p53-like, with no coding region annotated. Lineage: Eukaryota; Metazoa; Chordata; Actinopteri; Siluriformes; Ariidae. The transcript is spliced from 10 exons. The record is from RefSeq and is a predicted model, not a curated record.
GAGCUCGCCAUGCUGCUGCAGUGUGCUUUGUUGCACGCUGUUUGAGAAAGUGUUAAAAAAAUAUUUGUUUAAAACAGCUCCAGAAAGUCAUAUAGCGCUCAAUGAGUCUUUUCCAAGAUUUCUUUUGCGACUAAAACUCAGAACGGUGAAGCAGUUGGCCACUGGGAGUCAAAGCUCACUGGGAGUGACGCUUUCCGAACCUGCAGUGACGGAUAUCAGCCAUGAGUGAGCAGGAGAUGGCCCUCCCCAUGAGCCAGGACACCUUCGAGCAGUUGUGGGGUGAUGUGGGCUCGAACAUGGGUUUCAAUGAACUGCUUGCAGAGCUGCCGAGAGCAGACAGUGAUGCCUGGCUCACUGCUGCCUUGCCCAGUGGCACCUUCAGUGAGAACUUUGAUGGUCUGGAGCUCCCAGAGGCCCCUGACAGUGCUGCCGUAGCUGCUGUAAUGUCUCCGGUCCUGGACAGUCUGCCCCCUCCAGCUGCAGUGGUACCAUCCACAAGUGACUAUCCUGGGGAAUAUGGCUUCCAGCUCCGCUUCAACCAGUCCAGCACAACAAAAUCUGUUACCUCUACGUAUUCCAGUUCUUUGAAUAAACUGUACUGCCAGCUGGCUAAGACAUGUCCAGUUGAUGUCUUGCUGGAGCAGGUUCCUCCUCAGGGAGCAGUGCUCAGGGCCACUGCCAUUUACAAGAAACCUGAGCAUGUGUCGGAGGUGGUGCUGCGCUGCCCUCAUCACCAGAAUAUCUCUGAGAAUAAUGAAGGCGUUGCUCAUCGCAGCCAUCUUAUCCGUAUGGAGGGGAGGCAGAGGGCUCAGUAUUUAGAGGACCCCAAUACCAAGAGGCAGAGUGUCACUGUUCCCUAUGAGGCUCCUCAGCUGGGUUCAGAGGUCACCACGGUCUUGCUGAACUUCAUGUGCAACAGCAGCUGUAUGGGAGGCAUGAACCGCCGGCCCAUUCUUACCAUAAUGACUCUUGAAACACAUGAUGGGCAGGUUUUAGGUCGUCGUUGUUUCGAGGUCCGUGUGUGCGCCUGCCCUGGCCGUGACCGCAGGACUGAAGAAGAGAAUCAGAACAAAAAAACCUCAAAACUUGCCUCAGGAAAUAAAAGAAAGUUUCCAGGCAUGGACUCUCAGGUCGCUUCAAAAGCUGAAUCAAGUAAAAAGAUCAGGAUUGACUCCGGUUCUGAGGAGGAAAUCUUUGUUUUGCAUGUGAGUGGAGAAUUACGCAGCCUUUUCACAAGCACUAUACUUGAUCUUGCUUCCUACUAACAUGGUUUAGAUUUACAAUUUACCUGCCGGUGAAGUCGUAUCGUAAAACUUUUUAUCCCCUGCCCAAAUGAAGUUUGGCGGGGGAUAUAGGAAACGGGUUCCGUCCAUCCGGUCACGUUUCCGGGCCGUAUCUUUAAAACUACUGAAGACAUCUUCAUGAAACUUUGUAUACAUAUCAAUCAGCGUGUGAACUGGUGCCUUUUGCUAUUUUGGAUUUUUUUGAAAAGUAUUUUUCAGGUUUUUACAUAAAAAGUACACUACCGUUCAAAAGUUUGGGGUCACCUAGACAAUUUUGUGUUUUCCAUGAAAAGUCACACUUUUAUUUCCCACCAUAAGUUGUAAAAUGAAUAGAAAAUAUAGUCAAGACCUUUUUUUGAGCAUUUAAUCGACCCCACAAAUGUGAUGCUCCAGAAACUCAAUCUGCUCAAAGGAAGGUCAGUUUUAUAGCUUCUCUAAAGAGCUCAACUGUUUUCAGCUGUGCUAACAUGAUUGUACAAGGGUUUUCUAAUCCUCCAUUAGCCUUCUGAGGCAAUGAGCAAACACAUUGUACCAUUAGAACACUGGAGUGAGAGUUGCUGGAAAUGGGCCUCUAUACACCUAUGGAGAUAUUGCACCAAAAACCACACAUUUGCAGCUAGAAUAGUCAUUUACCACAUUAGCAAUGUAUAGAGUGGAUUUCUGAUUAGUUUAAAGUGACCUUCAUUGAAAAGAACAGUGCUUUUUCUUUCAAAAAUAAGGACAUUUCAAAGUGACCCCAAACUUUUGAACGGUAGUGUAGAUUUUGACUUAGUUUCUAAGAGCAGUGUUUGUUUCCGGAGCGUAUAUCCAAAACUGUUCAUGAUAGGGAUUUGAAACUUGGCAUACAUGUUAACAAGGUGAUGUAGAUGUGCCUUUUCAUACUAAAAAAAUUGAGAAAUUUAAGUUUUUCAUGUUUCUAUGGAAACAAUUUCAGACUCUCAGGUUAGUCUUAAGGGGUGUUCACAUGGCAACUUUUACUCCGGUGUAGCACCGGGGCUGCCCCAGUAGAGCGUUCACACGGUACAAAGUUAUACCGGUGUAGCCCCUGAAAGCUGCUUAAACCGGUACAAAUCUAACCCUGCUCGGGAGGUGGUUUAAGAAAUUUACUCCGGAGUAAAUGCUAGUUUGCGGGGCAGCACGGAUAUAAAAUGGGCCGUCUGAACGCUACAGGGGUAGACUCGCUACGCGUGAGUUGAUUACAUACGAGCAUUGCAUAAUUUGCAUCCUGGUAUUUUGCGCUUCCAAAAUGGCGAAUAUCAACAACAACAGAACUGCGUGUCUUACAGUGUUGCCAGAUUGGGCAGUUUUAAGUGCAUUUUGGCGGAUUUGAACAUAUUUUGGGAUGGAAAACAUCAGCAAUAUCUGGCAACACUGGUGUCUUCAUCCACGUUUUCCCGGCGCUUGGUGAUGCCAUGACAACCGGGAAAAGGAAGUACAUUUUCACGCAUGCGUAUAUUUAAUUUCCGCAUUAUUACUAUCGGAAAUGAUAGUAAUAAUGAUAGGAAAUGAUAGUAAUAAAAGGAAAUGAUAUCAAAACUUUAUUACUAUCAAAUGAAAUGAUGGUAAUAAAGUUUUUGCUACUAUUGCACGGUCGCAGAAACUGCCGUGUGACCACAAGUGGGGCUGCACCGGUGCUAAAACACUUCUCUCUAGUAAGCAGGGUUGUGACGUGUGAACGCUCCACAAAAUUUACACCGGUGUAAGAUAUAUCGCAACAAAAUACAUCGGUGCAGCAUCGAUGCAAAUAUGUGCCGUGUGAACACCCUAUUAGGUUUUGUUUCUGGAGCAGAACUUGAAAACUGAGUGGUAUGGUCUUGAAAGUUGGUAUAUGUGGUGAUUUAAGUAAUGUGUGCCUUUUGAUACUGAGAAAUUUUUAGCUCACCUGGGUCAAAGAUCCAGUAGGCUUAUGCUAUGGGCUGCUGAGGUCAGUGUAAAGAGGUUCGUGGGAGAGACAGAUUCAAUAUGCUAAAAACAAUUAAUGACAGUUUGGAGUUAACGGACAUGCUGCCUGCUGCAGAUAAGGACA